RNAcentral lists this transfer RNA (73 nucleotides) under Gemmatimonadaceae bacterium. RNAcentral's name for it is "tRNA-Ala". It matches the Rfam family "tRNA". Rfam says of the family: Transfer RNA (tRNA) molecules are approximately 80 nucleotides in length. Their secondary structure includes four short double-helical elements and three loops (D, anti-codon, and T loops). Lineage: Bacteria; Pseudomonadati; Gemmatimonadota; Gemmatimonadia; Gemmatimonadales; Gemmatimonadaceae. The record is from RNAcentral.
GGGGCGUUAGCUCAAUUGGUAGAGCGCCUGCUUUGCAAGCAGGAGGUCAUCGGUUCGAUUCCGAUACGCUCCA